GGAGAGAUGGCCGAGUGGUUUAAGGCGAUAGUCUUGAAAACUAUUAUAGAGUUUAUAAGCUUUAUCGAGGGUUCGAAUCCCUCUCUCUCCA
This 91-nucleotide transfer RNA is filed under the name Endomicrobium sp. RNAcentral's name for it is "tRNA-Ser". It matches the Rfam family "tRNA". From Rfam's summary of the family: Transfer RNA (tRNA) molecules are approximately 80 nucleotides in length. Their secondary structure includes four short double-helical elements and three loops (D, anti-codon, and T loops). Lineage: Bacteria; Pseudomonadati; Elusimicrobiota; Endomicrobiia; Endomicrobiales; Endomicrobiaceae. The record is from RNAcentral.